Molecule: ribosomal RNA, 254 nt
Filed under: uncultured bacterium
Lineage: Bacteria
Description: partial 16S ribosomal RNA
Rfam family: Bacterial small subunit ribosomal RNA
Source: RNAcentral
UACGUAGGGUGCGAGCGUUAUCCGGAAUCAUUGGGCGUAAAGAGCUCGUAGGCGGUUCAGCAAGUCGGCUGUGAAAGUCCGAGGCUCAACCUCGGAAUUGCAGUCGAUACUGCUGUGACUCGAGCCCGGUAGAGGAGAACGGAAUUCCAGGUGUAGCGGUGAAAUGCGCAGAUAUCGGGAGGAUCACCAGUAGCGAAGGCGGUUCUCUGGGCCGGCACUGACGCCGAGGAGAGAAAGCGUGGGGAGCGAACAGG